This 376-nucleotide unclassified non-coding RNA is filed under the name soil metagenome. Its description in RNAcentral is "partial contains 5.8S ribosomal RNA, internal transcribed spacer 2, and large subunit ribosomal RNA". The stretch from base 5 to 121 matches the Rfam family "5.8S ribosomal RNA", at positions 38 to 154 of the family's 154-position model. The record is from RNAcentral.
GAUGGAAGAACGCAGCGAAAUGCGAUAAGUAAUGUGAAUUGCAGAAUUCAGUGAAUCAUCGAAUCUUUGAACGCACAUUGCGCCCGCCAGUAUUCUGGCGGGCAUGCCUGUUCGAGCGUCAUUUCAACCCUCAAGACCCCUUCGGGGGACUUGGUGUUGGGGACCGGCACAGGGGCCUGCCUGCUUGUCUUGCAGCGCCCUCGCCGCCCCCGAAAUGAAUUGGCGGCCUCGUCGCGGCCUCCCCUGCGUAGUAGCACAACCUCGCAACGGGAACGUGACGGCGGCCACUGCCGUAAAACAACCCCAAUUUUAUUAGAGUUGACCUCGAAUCAGGUAGGAAUACCCGCUGAACUUAAGCAUAUCAAUAAGCGGAGGA